Molecule: non-coding RNA, 92 nt
Filed under: unclassified sequences
Description: c-di-GMP sequence
Rfam family: c-di-GMP-II-GAG riboswitch aptamer
Source: Rfam by way of RNAcentral
GGCCGGGCGAGAGGCGCUCGAACCGCGGCCGGUAUGCCGGUCACCGAUCAAAUGGCCGCGGCUAGCCAAUGGUGAGACCGACUCGAACCACU